RNAcentral lists this ribosomal RNA (468 nucleotides) under uncultured bacterium. RNAcentral describes it as "partial 16S ribosomal RNA". It matches the Rfam family "Bacterial small subunit ribosomal RNA", at positions 28 to 507 of the family's 1533-position model. The record is from RNAcentral.
GACGAACGCUGGCGGCGUGCUUAACACAUGCAAGUCGAACGGAAAGGCCCUGCUUUUGUGGGGUGCUCGAGUGGCGAACGGGUGAGUAACACGUGAGUAACCUGCCCUUGACUUUGGGAUAACUUCAGGAAACUGGGGCUAAUACCGGAUAGGAGCUCCUGCUGCAUGGUGGGGGUUGGAAAGUUUCGGCGGUUGGGGAUGGACUCGCGGCUUAUCAGCUUAUUGGUGGGGUAGUGGCUUACCAAGGCUUUGACGGGUAGCCGGCCUGAGAGGGUGACCGGCCACAUUGGGACUGAGAUACGGCCCAGACUCCUACGGGAGGCAGCAGUGGGGAAUAUUGCACAAUGGGCGGAAGCCUGAUGCAGCAACGCCGCGUGCGGGAUGACGGCCUUCGGGUUGUAAACCGCUUUCGCCUGUGACGAAGCGUGAGUGACGGUAAUGGGUAAAGAAGCAACGGCUAACUACGUG